GUCUCUGGCCAUCCUUGGGGAGAUCCUGUUUGGCAUUAAGUUGUCGGGCAGGGGAUACCCAUCGUUUACUGUGAAAAAAUUAGAGUGUUUAAAGCAGGCUUAUGCCGUUGAAUAUAUUAGCAUGGAAUAAUAAGAUAGGACUUCGGAACUAUUUUGUUGGUUUGCGUUACGAAGUAAUGAUUAAUAGGGACAGUUGGGGGUAUUCGUAUUUCGUUGUCAGAGGUGAAAUUCUUGGAUUUCCGAAAGACGAACUACUGCGAAAGCAUUUACCAAGGAUGUUUUCAUUAAUCAAGAACGAAAGUUAGGGGAUCGAAGAUGAUUAGAUACCAUCGUAGUCUUAACCAUAAACUAUGCCGACUCGGGAUUGGUGGUUGUUUUUUGACUCCAUCAGCACCGUAUGAGAAAUCAAAGUCUUUGGGUUCCGGGGGGAGUAUGG
Molecule: ribosomal RNA, 436 nt
Filed under: Minidiscus sp. RCC4584
Lineage: Eukaryota; Bacillariophyta; Thalassiosirophyceae; Thalassiosirales; Thalassiosiraceae
Description: SSU rRNA
Rfam family: Eukaryotic small subunit ribosomal RNA
Source: RNAcentral